CCCCUAGAUGUUCUGGGCCGCACGCGCGCUACACUGAACAGUUCAACAAGUCUUAACCUUGGCCGAUAGGUCUGGGUAAUCUUUGAACGCUGUUCGUGAUUGGGAUAGACCUUUGCAAUUAUAGGUCUUCAACGAGGAAUUCCUAGUAAACGCAAGUCAUCAGCUUGCAUUGAUUACGUCCCUGCCCUUUGUACACACCGCCCGUCGCACCUACCGAUUGAAUGGUCCGGUGAAAUCUCGGGACGGCGGCUUGGUCGCUUGCGUCCGACUGCUGAAACUUGAUUAAACCAUAUCAUUUAGAGGAAGGUGAAGUCGUANCA
RNAcentral lists this ribosomal RNA (320 nucleotides) under uncultured eukaryote. RNAcentral's name for it is "partial 18S ribosomal RNA". It matches the Rfam family "Eukaryotic small subunit ribosomal RNA", at positions 1470 to 1796 of the family's 1831-position model. The record is from RNAcentral.